UUAAGCGACUAAGCGUACACGGUGGAUGCCCUGGCAGUCAGAGGCGAUGAAGGACGUGCUAAUCUGCGAUAAGCGUCGGUAAGGUGAUAUGAACCGUUAUAACCGGCGAUUUCCGAAUGGGGAAACCCAGUGUGUUUCGACACACUAUCAUUAACUGAAUCCAUAGGUUAAUGAGGCGAACCGGGGGAACUGAAACAUCUAAGUACCCCGAGGAAAAGAAAUCAACCGAGAUUCCCCCAGUAGCGGCGAGCGAACGGGGAGCAGCCCAGAGCCUGAAUCAGUGUGUGUGUUAGUGGAAGCGUCUGGAAAGGCGCGCGAUACAGGGUGACAGCCCCGUACACAAAAAUGCACAUGCUGUGAGCUCGAUGAGUAGGGCGGGACACGUGGUAUCCUGUCUGAAUAUGGGGGGACCAUCCUCCAAGGCUAAAUACUCCUGACUGACCGAUAGUGAACCAGUACCGUGAGGGAAAGGCGAAAAGAACCCCGGCGAGGGGAGUGAAAAAGAACCUGAAACCGUGUACGUACAAGCAGUGGGAGCACGCUUAGGCGUGUGACUGCGUACCUUUUGUAUAAUGGGUCAGCGACUUAUAUUCUGUAGCAAGGUUAACCGAAUAGGGGAGCCGAAGGGAAACCGAGUCUUAACUGGGCGUUAAGUUGCAGGGUAUAGACCCGAAACCCGGUGAUCUAGCCAUGGGCAGGUUGAAGGUUGGGUAACACUAACUGGAGGACCGAACCGACUAAUGUUGAAAAAUUAGCGGAUGACUUGUGGCUGGGGGUGAAAGGCCAAUCAAACCGGGAGAUAGCUGGUUCUCCCCGAAAGCUAUUUAGGUAGCGCCUCGUGAAUUCAUCUCCGGGGGUAGAGCACUGUUUCGGCAAGGGGGUCAUCCCGACUUACCAACCCGAUGCAAACUGCGAAUACCGGAGAAUGUUAUCACGGGAGACACACGGCGGGUGCUAACGUCCGUCGUGAAGAGGGAAACAACCCAGACCGCCAGCUAAGGUCCCAAAGUCAUGGUUAAGUGGGAAACGAUGUGGGAAGGCCCAGACAGCCAGGAUGUUGGCUUAGAAGCAGCCAUCAUUUAAAGAAAGCGUAAUAGCUCACUGGUCGAGUCGGCCUGCGCGGAAGAUGUAACGGGGCUAAACCAUGCACCGAAGCUGCGGCAGCGACGCUGAUGCGUUGUUGGGUAGGGGAGCGUUCUGUAAGCCUGUGAAGGUGUGCUGUGAGGCAUGCUGGAGGUAUCAGAAGUGCGAAUGCUGACAUAAGUAACGAUAAAGCGGGUGAAAAGCCCGCUCGCCGGAAGACCAAGGGUUCCUGUCCAACGUUAAUCGGGGCAGGGUGAGUCGACCCCUAAGGCGAGGCCGAAAGGCGUAGUCGAUGGGAAACAGGUUAAUAUUCCUGUACUUGGUGUUACUGCGAAGGGGGGACGGAGAAGGCUAUGUUGGCCGGGCGACGGUUGUCCCGGUUUAAGCGUGUAGGCUGGUUUUCCAGGCAAAUCCGGAAAAUCAAGGCUGAGGCGUGAUGACGAGGCACUACGGUGCUGAAGCAACAAAUGCCCUGCUUCCAGGAAAAGCCUCUAAGCAUCAGGUAACAUCAAAUCGUACCCCAAACCGACACAGGUGGUCAGGUAGAGAAUACCAAGGCGCUUGAGAGAACUCGGGUGAAGGAACUAGGCAAAAUGGUGCCGUAACUUCGGGAGAAGGCACGCUGAUAUGUAGGUGAAGCGACUUGCUCGUGGAGCUGAAAUCAGUCGAAGAUACCAGCUGGCUGCAACUGUUUAUUAAAAACACAGCACUGUGCAAACACGAAAGUGGACGUAUACGGUGUGACGCCUGCCCGGUGCCGGAAGGUUAAUUGAUGGGGUUAGCGCAAGCGAAGCUCUUGAUCGAAGCCCCGGUAAACGGCGGCCGUAACUAUAACGGUCCUAAGGUAGCGAAAUUCCUUGUCGGGUAAGUUCCGACCUGCACGAAUGGCGUAAUGAUGGCCAGGCUGUCUCCACCCGAGACUCAGUGAAAUUGAACUCGCUGUGAAGAUGCAGUGUACCCGCGGCAAGACGGAAAGACCCCGUGAACCUUUACUAUAGCUUGACACUGAACAUUGAGCCUUGAUGUGUAGGAUAGGUGGGAGGCUUAGAAGUGUGGACGCCAGUCUGCAUGGAGCCGACCUUGAAAUACCACCCUUUAAUGUUUGAUGUUCUAACGUUGACCCGUAAUCCGGGUUGCGGACAGUGUCUGGUGGGUAGUUUGACUGGGGCGGUCUCCUCCUAAAGAGUAACGGAGGAGCACGAAGGUUGGCUAAUCCUGGUCGGACAUCAGGAGGUUAGUGCAAUGGCAUAAGCCAGCUUGACUGCGAGCGUGACGGCGCGAGCAGGUGCGAAAGCAGGUCAUAGUGAUCCGGUGGUUCUGAAUGGAAGGGCCAUCGCUCAACGGAUAAAAGGUACUCCGGGGAUAACAGGCUGAUACCGCCCAAGAGUUCAUAUCGACGGCGGUGUUUGGCACCUCGAUGUCGGCUCAUCACAUCCUGGGGCUGAAGUAGGUCCCAAGGGUAUGGCUGUUCGCCAUUUAAAGUGGUACGCGAGCUGGGUUUAGAACGUCGUGAGACAGUUCGGUCCCUAUCUGCCGUGGGCGCUGGAGAACUGAGGGGGGCUGCUCCUAGUACGAGAGGACCGGAGUGGACGCAUCACUGGUGUUCGGGUUGUCAUGCCAAUGGCACUGCCCGGUAGCUAAAUGCGGAAGAGAUAAGUGCUGAAAGCAUCUAAGCACGAAACUUGCCCCGAGAUGAGUUCUCCCUGACCCUUUAAGGGUCCUGAAGGAACGUUGAAGACGACGACGUUGAUAGGCCGGGUGUGUAAGCGCAGCGAUGCGUUGAGCUAACCGGUACUAAUGAACCGUGAGGCUUAACCUU
This 2902-nucleotide ribosomal RNA is filed under the name Escherichia coli. Its description in RNAcentral is "bacterial LSU rRNA". It matches the Rfam family "Bacterial large subunit ribosomal RNA". The record is from RNAcentral. Lineage: Bacteria; Pseudomonadati; Pseudomonadota; Gammaproteobacteria; Enterobacterales; Enterobacteriaceae.